CUGGGCGUGCCCUUUAGAACAACUGUAAAAGCUACGGCAGGAGAAGGAAAAUCACACUUUUCAAAAUUUCCUUCCUUCUCUCUCCUGUGACUUGCAAAACAUUUUACCAACAUUUGCAAAUUACUUUGGUGCUGGAUUUACAGAUGAGUAAAUAAAGGCAAGAGAUGGACCUUUUCAGCCCCACUGACCAGGUGCUAUUGGAAAGGGCUGAAGUUCCUCACUGGUGGUUUCUCAGAGAAGGCAGUUUUUCUUGUACAACAUAUCAAGUUUUUAGUCAGAGUAGCAACUGAGGCCACACCUAUACUGGCAAUUAGAAAUUGAUCUUCAAAUCAUCUGUGAGUGGGAGGGUUUGGGCUUGCUUGUGUGGGUGCUACAGCUGAAGAAGAGCUCAGUAUUGAGACAUAAGGGGAAAGAAAGUUUUCCUGUGGUGUUAAGGCUUGCCCUGUGCUGGCAAAGGUGAUUUUAGCUAGCACCAGUGAAGUGGGUUUGUGAGCCACUGAAUAUUUAAUACUCAGAAUCACAGAAUUGUAGGGAUUCGUAAGAGAGCUCCUUUGCUCCUUUCAGAGAAUGGUGAUAUUGCAAGGCAGUAACAUCUACUUUAAAACACCUGUUAAAUUUGAAGUGUGUAGGAGAAAGGAAAACAGUUCAAAGAAAAACAGAGAAUACUGAAAUCAAGAUAUUGCUGCUGUCUUUCAAGCAAUGACAACGUUGUCAUUUUUGCCUUUCUUCUUAAGAGAUUAAAGCUGAAGGCACUGAUGCUAAAACUUACGCGUGUUUAACUUUCAGUGAAAACUCAAGGCUGUCAUCCUUCAAGAAGUGUAACUUGCUACGGCUGAGUGGCUGGCUUCUAAUAAGAUGACUUCUUUCAUGUUCAAGUUCAUCGAAAUUUGCCCUGCCAAUUCAUAUCUGGAAACAGAAAACUGUAGAAGCCAAAGGGAGACACCAAUCAAGAUGCUGAGAAUGUUAAACCGUGGGAGCGUACCAGCCAAAGGUGAUGGCGAAUUCUCCUCCACAUCAAGUUUUGUGGAUAAAACCCCUCCUGCAAGCACCAUCCAAACUUAUCCUGGUGAUACUGCACAAAAUUUAAGACUUCUGUCAAAUGCUGAUGAUCAGCAAAGAAGCAGGCGGCGGCCUUAAAUCACAGUUAUGCAUCAAGAUUGUGUAUGGGAAGGGAAUAAUUCCUGGGGCUAAAGGAGCUGUGAUUCCUGCUGUCUGCUGACAGUGACCUUAAAGCAGUGUGGGGAAGAGCAUCUCACAAGGCAGCAAAUGCCAUGACCUGGGGGAUUUAAUGGUAUUGCCCUUCAGAGCAGCAAGUAUGUAAGCUCUGAUCUGUGCUUGCCCUCUCUGGGCACCAGCUAGCCCUCACUGAUAGUGUCACCUCUAUACAAGCUUCUGCACUCAUAAGCUACUGCCUUGCAGAAUGCUUUAGUACUUAUUUAUUUAUUUAUUGAUGCUAUCGUGAACCUAAAGAGAAGGAGUGGAGUAGCUCUUGAUAGAUGUAUACAUAUGUCUAUACAUACAUACAUAUGCAUGUUCAUGGAUUAGCCAGUCUUUUCUCUGUGACUAAAUCAGCUUUGCACAAAUGCUAGAGAGAUUAUUUUCUGCACCACUCAGUCUAGGCUUGGUCACAUUUAGGAGCUACAGGAUAUUCCUAUGGAAACUGUCUUUUGUUUUUGUGGCUCAACACAUCUGUAUAAACCAGGACUGCUUGAAAGCUUCAAAGCAUCUUUGUAACAGCAGCAUGAAAGAAGCAAGUAUCUGGGAAGGGAAGUCUAUAAUGACUUGCUACCAAUUCCAGAGUUGCAGUAUUACCAAGAGCAGAUGGGGGGAUGUAACGAUCCAACUGAGAUCUGUAACAGGUUAACAACCUUCCUCCUAACAGGUGACGUUUAAAAGAAACCAGCUACCAGCUAAAUGUAAAGGGGGUAAAAAAAAAGAAAGAAAGAAGAAAAGGAUAAAUAAAUGAGGUAAAAUGAAGGUUAAAUUAGGAGGA
Coturnix japonica (Japanese quail) is the source of this 1993-nucleotide long non-coding RNA. NCBI's taxonomy places the organism in Eukaryota, Metazoa, Chordata, Aves, Galliformes, Phasianidae. The record is from Ensembl.